UAAUGCUGCCGCUAAGUCUUUUUGCCACUCGGUGGGCAUGACCUCGGCGAGUUCCAGCUAUUGUGACGUUACAAUGUGACAUUAAAAUAUAUACUUACACUGUUUCAUAUUAUAUUAAAAGAACCAUCCAGUAAGAGUCAUUUGUUCGUGACUGGGCUAUGUGCACUGGUUGCAUUGUAUGUUUUUGAUUCACUAAAAGGAACCAGUUCAUAAGAGUCAUUUGUUCGGACUACACUGGAUGCGCUGUAAGAGAAAGACGCGAUCUCUUGACAUUAUUUUGCGGAACAUGGUCUUUACAUCUAAUCACAUUUAAGUGGGGCUGCUGUAAAUUGGUCCAGGAAACUGCUUAUAUUUAUAUUUUAUACAUUGGGAUACUGAUGCUGGGGUGGCUUUUUCUUAGGGUGACAGUUGCCACCAUUCAACUGUCACCAACCGUGAUUUAUCUGUAGAGCUAGUCCCACUUUAAUAAAAAAAAAAAAAAAAUUAUAUCGUUGUUAUGGUGUAUUAAAUUACUGUUUCAUUAUGUAUUUAUGACAUAGCAGUCAGCGUAACAUUAACUUGCUUAUUAUCAAACAUGGCUACUUUUAUUAUUUACUAUGGGAAGCCAAACAACUCAAAAGCUGGUCCAAACUUAUGGCGGCAAAUCCGCGCCAAAAAUCAGAGCGUGUUAUUAAUGCUCGCAUGCACGGUAAAUUACAACCACGAGAGGAAAAUAAAUGUUCAUGUGCAGAAAGAGGAGAACUCACAUUCUAAAAAAAAGUAUGCUCUGCUCACACAAACUUUUUCUUUUUGUCAGCAGCAGAGCCCUUGAGAGAGAGAGAGAGAGAGAGAGAGAGAGAGUUGCAUAAAUAAGCUUUUUUCACACAAAUCGGAAACUACUUCACCACGGUAUAACAUUAUUUUUGGCACGGCAUGAACUUUUAUAUGACUGCGUUCCAUGCAGAGUACACAUGAGGAGAUUCUUCACUACUUCUGUCUCUUGACCCUGCCACAACAGGAUGUUAACCAAACUGUUGGAGAGCACUCUACAACUAAAGAAUCAAGCAUGAGCAAGGGCUAUGAAUUCUCUGAGGAAUUUGUACACAAUUAUCAAGGUAAGUUGCCAGCUAGCUGGCGCUAGCAUUUGCAACAGUAUGAAUGCUAACAAUUUUGUAUGUGUUCAGUCUCAAAUGUUGUUAAUCGCAAGGUGGUAGUGAGAGCUAGGUGUUACCGAUCAAUGAAGAAUUCCUUUAGUUUCACAUGUUGUGAAGUUAUGACCUUUUUCUUUCCUUCUGCGGUUCCAGAGUUUCACUAUGUCUUGCUUUUACUGCGGUUUGCAACUUUCAUUUAGCAACACUUAAUUUAGCUCAUAGCAUAAAAUUACAAUUCUCUAGCAAACUGUUGUCUUUUCAAACGGAUGACAUUUGAGUCGUAAGAGGAUGUUUGUGUUUCUGCCUAUAUGUUUAGCUGUGCAGCUGGUAAUGGGUUGUGUAACCAUCUGACAAUUCUUAUGUAUCAGACAGCCCACUAUGUGCAGCUAAAUUUACAUUCUGUCCCACCACCGCUGGACUGCACGAUUGAGCCACAGUGAUGGCAUCGUCCAAGCAUACAGGGGAGUCUGUUCAGAGGCACUGAGUGAACUUUGUGCUGAAACCAAAAUCACUUGGGACGACUAGAUUAAAGUCUACCCCAUACAAGGCUUACAUAGGCUCCCUUCUAGAUCCUCAUGUCUUGGCUUCUGGAGCAAAACUCCGUCAGAUCAAUCCCCAGCCUUUGCUGGCACACAUACUAGAGGGCAUGUCAAAAAUAGAGUUGGUCCCAACACAAUUUGAUCCCAUACCUCGUGGCAGUCCACUAUCCUACCUAUGGCUGCAGAUGUUCCUGUUGUAAAUUUCCUCUGCUGACAGCAUUGCUCAGGUUCCAUUCAUGAAAACCCAAAGAACCAAGCCAAACUCAGAGACCCAUAUGUACUAUUACCAGGUUCAAGGCCUGCUUGCAGUGACUGGUCUACAGUCGUGUGACUUUGUGACUGACACAAAAUUAGAUCUCACACUACAGAGGAUUUGGCGAGAUGAUGCCUUUGUAGUGUUCAUGAAAGACAAGCUAAACAUGUAUUACUUCAAUGUUUACAUGGAUAUGUAUCUGUCAAUGGUAUGAAUUAAGUUUCUGUUCAUACUGCAGUACAUGAACAUUUGAUGUUUUAUUUUUAUUAUUGUAUUAAGUAUAUUGUGUUAAUUGCUAUUAAACAUAUGUAAAUAUAGAAAAGCCAAGGUGAAUGAAUAAUUAGAUUUUGUAUUAGAUAUUUUGUAAUAUAGAUGUUAGAUAUAUUGUAUUAGCUAGAUAUUUCAUAUGUACAAAUGUUUACAAAAUGUGUAUAUAUUUGCAUUGAAUACAUUGUAGUUUAUUUUACAAAUGUACUCCCAGGGGAUGCUUGUAGUGCAGAUCUACAAUUUCAAGUUCUAAUUUUGUGAAAUAACAACUGGACGCCAGAAUUGAGGUUUGUCACAUUUAUUUUUAUCAUGAAUUAUUAUUAAAAAG
This is a long non-coding RNA of Ictalurus punctatus (channel catfish), 2517 nucleotides long. RefSeq lists it as uncharacterized. The record is from RefSeq and is a predicted model, not a curated record. NCBI's taxonomy places the organism in Eukaryota, Metazoa, Chordata, Actinopteri, Siluriformes, Ictaluridae. The transcript has 3 exons.